This is a non-coding RNA of Rattus norvegicus (Norway rat), 3492 nucleotides long. The record is from RefSeq and is a predicted model, not a curated record. Lineage: Eukaryota; Metazoa; Chordata; Mammalia; Rodentia; Muridae.
UAUGCCUUAAAUAAACUCUAUUCUAUGUGGCUGGUACCUGGGGGGUGGGGGAACGCCUCAGCAUGGGUCCCUAGAGGCACCCCCUUCCCCCACCCAUGCCUUGCCUCCUCCAAACAUAUCCCUGAUUUGUUUAUCUUUUUUAUAAAACACAACACUAAGAACAGCAAUAAAAAAGGCAAUAAAGAGUCGAUUUAGCCAUUCUUUACUUAAAACAACAACAACGAAAACAAAACAAAACAAAUAAACAAAAGUUUAAUUGGAGCGGCCUUAAAGUUUCAGAGGUUUAGUCCAUUAUCAUCAUGGCAGGGAGCAUGGUGUUGUAACGUGCAGACAUGGUGUUGGAGAAGCAGCUGGGAGUUCUGCAUCCGGAUGCGCAGGCAGCACUGAGAAAGAGACUGGGGUGGACACAGGCUUUUGAAACCUCUAAGCCCUCCUCGAAUGAUACACUUCCACCAACAAGGUCGCACCUCUGAAUCCUUCUCAAGCGGCUCCACUCCCUGAUGACUAGGCCUACGGGCCUGGGUUAGCAGAUUUUUCUAAAAUGCCUCUGCAUGUCAGGCUAACAUGCUUUGUGUGCUACGGGAAGACAAAUUCCUACUGUACUAAUUCCCACAUGUGUGAUAGGCUCUCUGUAACGGAGGGGAGGGCCUAAUCAAAAACAGAGAAGAGGCCCAUUUAGAUGGACAAGGACACUCCACUAUUUAGCAAAGAGUUGGCGACAGAGCCAUGUCCCCAGUCUCUUACCAUAAGCCCCAGUUUGGAAAGGAAUUAACGGUGUUGUAGGUUCUAGGAGCAUUUUGUGAUGCAAUGCCCGUAAGUUUCAGCCAUUUUGCAGAGUGAAAGGUCAAGCUUGGGUGAGGUGGAAAUUUCCGGUUUCUUUGGAGACUCUGUUGUGUCAAGUGAUGUUUUUCUGGAAACUGUCUCAUGAGAGGAUUUUUUUUCUGAAGCAGACACGUGGGAGGAGGUUUUGCUGAGAACAGACACGUGGUGUUUUACUGGAGGCAGCCUGGAAAAAGAGUGCGUGCCGCUUCGCUAGAGCAGAUGCCUGAGAGUGCCGUGACGUUUGGAAAGGCAUCCAAUAGGCAGUGGAUGACGCUGUGCUGGUCAUCAUUUGCUGUGAGCUCACAGAAAGAAACAGACCAAAAGCCUUCUGGUGGUGCUCUGCAGGUCUGGGCCCAUUGGCAGAGACUCAAGGACUCUUUUGGAUCGACCUGCCGUCGCUGGUUUGCGAGUGGUGUUUGUGAAUGGAUCGAGCUGUGGCCAAGGAUUCCUGUGAACUGAACAGCUGAUUCCCUGACAGCGUGGAUCUGGUUUGCGCCAAAGAACUAGUUCUAAACAGAUCUCCAGUGUGGAAUAGACGGAAAUCUCCUCUACAGGGCUCACUGUGGUUCACACACAGUCGUCUGCUACCCCCUGAGAAACCAGCUCUUAGAUGCCGAAGUCUAUCUUAAGGCCUUGCUUCAUCUUCGACGUCUCAGAAGAGAGUAAGUGGGUGCUACUCUGGUAGUUUCUCGAAGGAAACGCGGGUCUCGACUCAUCUAAAGCUCAACCUUUUAAAACUCAAAAACCUACUGGUUUCAAGAGUCUACUGCCGAAUCUAAAAUAUGGCUAUUCCUCUUUUUAAUUUUUAUUUAUGUGUAUAUAUGUGCACCUCCUUGUCUGCGUAUGUGCUCAUGGACCCUAGAAGAAUGCUUUAGACCCCCUGGAGCUGGAGUUUCAGCCUGCUACCCCUGGAGUCAACAGAUACCUUGACCAAGCAGAAGAGCCCUGAAUGAGGAAGUGUGAAGGAAUGGGCCAAGGAGGAGUCAGAAGAGAGGACUGGAAGGAACCUGGUAAUGCCUGAGCAGUCUUUAUUCCCCUGGGAGUUCUAGGAUAAAGGCUCUUGUGGUUUUCUUCUGUCUUCUUCCUCUUCUUCUGCCUCAACUCUUCGCUUUCCUCUCCUUGCACCCCACUUUCCUCAUUGCCCUCUGCUUCUCUGAAAUCCCAACUCAUUCUACCUUCAUCUGGUGUAUCUGUAGACAAUGACCCAUCUAAUUCUCCCUUCUGCCAUUGUACGUCAAUGCUGGAGACAUUUCUGCUCGGAUCGAGAAUCACUUCCACGUAAGACACCCACGUAGACUCCAUCUUUCACCCACAGUUUAAAACUUGUCUCACUUUUCUCUUCCUCUCUGUGGAAGGCAGCCCUCCGCUGCACUCAGUGUCCUUCAGUGUUUUGACUUCUUGCUCUGCCUGGGCCCUGUGCUUGGUUGCCUUGGAAAUAGCUCGGAUUCAAUCCUGCCCAAACCCGAUACCUACCAUGGACAGCGGCAGCCUGAGCGUGCGCCCUUUGAUGUAAGAAUUUCUGUAGCUUCCUCUCCCCCUGCUCUGACCAUCCCCUUUGAUCUCUAGCUUACAUCCGUCCUGAUUUAGCUUCAUGCUCUCGCUCUCAGAUUCCAGCCUGUUUCUUGGGUGAAUAGAUUUUGGACGUUAUGGUCUCCCUCUGACUCUGAGCAUCCUUUGGAGUUCUGUUGUUCAUCCUGUGAUCUGGGGAUGGAAAUUCUGCUCGCCAAGGUUCCCAUCUAACUUUGUGGAAUGGGGGAAGGGCUCCGAUCAACUAGCUUUGCUGCUUGCAAGCUUGUGUGCACUGUCUUGACGUUAAUGAUAAUUUUAUUCUGCUUAUUUCUCACUUUCUGGUCUGCAGGGAUUUCUCACUGUCUACAAGAGAAAGUUUAAAUACAUUGGUCUUAUUUAAGCCUUACUGCAUUCUAUGAUCCCAGCAGUCUGGCUGUAUGGCUAACGGCAGCCCUAAAAGAGUUAUGGCGAGGCUGAAAAGAUGGCUCAGUGGUUAAGAGCACUUAGUCGAGUCACAUUAGUGAAUUCCAGGUUCAGUGAGAGACAUUGUCUUCAAAAUUAAGGCGGAUAGAGAUAGAGGAAGACACCUGAUGUCUACCUCUGGCCUGCCCCGUGAACACAUGUGAACACACACACACACACACAUACACCACAUAUACACAUACAUACACACACAUGCACACACUCUCAUACACAUACACAUAUACACAAUACAUAUACACUCACACACAUACACACACAGCACACACACAUGCACAUAUACAUACACACAUAUAUACACAUAAACACACAUAUACACAUACACACAUAUACACACAUAUACACAUACACACGCACAUAUACAUACACACAUAAACACACAUAUACACAUACACACAUAUACACACAUACACACACGCUCACACACAUGCACACACAGGCGCACAUACACAGGCACAUGCACUCAUACACAUACACACAUACACAACACAUAACACACUCACACACAUACACACACAGCACACACACAUGCACAUAUACAUACACACAUAUAUACACAUAAACACACAUAUACACAUACACACAUAUACACACAUACACACACGCUCACACACAUGCACACACAGGCGCACAUACACAGGCACAUGCACUCAUACACAUACACACAUACACAACACAUAA